Lathyrus oleraceus (garden pea) is the source of this 483-nucleotide long non-coding RNA. RefSeq lists it as uncharacterized. The record is from RefSeq and is a predicted model, not a curated record. Lineage: Eukaryota; Viridiplantae; Streptophyta; Magnoliopsida; Fabales; Fabaceae. The transcript has 2 exons.
UAUAAUUCCCCAAUAAAGAGCAGCCUCUGCUUAGUGUUUGUCAGUCACGUUUUAUGCUGCCGAUUUUGUGACCACGACAUGUUCCUGUGGCAAAAUUGUUGUAGCUUUAAGAUGCACGGCACGUUGUGAUGCAGCUAUUCAUUUGUCAUCGGCUUGCGCCGCUUUGUAUUUGGCUUGUGGCUUAUGGCAGCUGGUGCUUUAGAAGUCGUUGCUUUGCUUAGCAGCUGUGUGAAGUUGUUUUUAUUUUCCAAUUCUGCAACUGUUCCCAUUGGCUUGGAUGUAGCUCAUGUUUGUCAUGGAUAAUGGUGUGUGUUUGUAAAAUGUGACAAGAAUGGUGAGACCUUGGUUUAUGAAAAUUGGGUGUUUGGUUAUAAAAUGGAUAUGGAUGUGAUGCAUUGUUAUGCUUGAAUGUUAAAUGAAAAUGUAUGUAUGAAAAUGAGUUUGGAAAUGUUUGAAAGUUAAAUAUUACUGAAUGUUAUGAAA